UUCUCCACACUUAAUCAUUUAUUCAUGUUUUUAAAUUCUCUCUUAUUGAACUAACCUUCCAACUCCCUCUCUUUCUACUCCUAUAUAAAUCACUUCCUCAAAGGUUUAAUCGAACCGUUCUCUACAGCAUCCAUUCGAUGACAAUGACCGAUGGCCGAAAUUGAUUCAACAUCCGACAAGUCUCCUAUUGCAUUUUAUUUCGUCGACAUAUCACCAGGGCCAUCGGACUCGGGAUUACGCUUUAGUUUGAUCCAUUUCUGGGAGGCCAAAAACACUGCCAGUGGCAGGAGCUGCUAAUCCUCAACGAACAGGGCACUGUGAUGCAAGGUUUCAUUUCAUCAAAUCUUAGAGGAACUGGUCUUGUAAUUAUAGGAUUUUCAAAAUGUUCUUGACUGAGAUAUAUCUGUUUUGUUAUACACUGGAGAUUGUUGACCAAAACGAACCCAAGCUUUAUCUGCAGUGGCAUAC
Molecule: long non-coding RNA, 468 nt
Organism: Brassica napus (rape)
Lineage: Eukaryota; Viridiplantae; Streptophyta; Magnoliopsida; Brassicales; Brassicaceae
Exons: 3
Source: RefSeq, a predicted model, not a curated record